UAAGUAGGUAAGGUAAUCGCUGAGCACAUAAUACUUUAUGUGCUUAGAGGAAAGUCCGAACACCUUCCAGAAGAAUUUUUGGGAACGUUCCGGGUAACACCCGGCCGCUGUGAGGCGAGAGGUGCGAACAGAGACGAUUUUUGACGAAAGUCAAAAAUCGCCCUCCGUAGUUUUAACGAAAGAGGGCGCAGCUUGGUGGUAACGCCAAGGAUGAAACGGCUAAAUCCUGACGGGGUGCAAGAACAAAGCCCAGUGAGAUAUUUCGCUAUCUUAUAGGGCUAAAAGUAGUUCGCUUGAGCCCGAGAGUAAUCUCCGGCCUAGACAGAUGAUUACUUUACCCGCCAAAAUUUCUUCGAAAUUUAGGCGGGCGAGACAGAAUUCGGCUUAUUACCUGCUUAGGCU
Molecule: RNase P RNA, 402 nt
Filed under: Candidatus Nealsonbacteria bacterium CG23_combo_of_CG06-09_8_20_14_all_36_12
Lineage: Bacteria; Candidatus Nealsoniibacteriota
Description: RNase P RNA component class A
Rfam family: Bacterial RNase P class A
About the family: Ribonuclease P (RNase P) is a ubiquitous endoribonuclease, found in archaea, bacteria and eukarya as well as chloroplasts and mitochondria. Its best characterised activity is the generation of mature 5'-ends of tRNAs by cleaving the 5'-leader elements of precursor-tRNAs.
Source: RNAcentral